AGUGAACGCUGGCGGCAGGCCUAACACAUGCAAGUCGAGCGGCAGCGCGGGGCAACCCUGGCGGCGAGCGGCGGACGGGUGAGGAAUACAUCGGAAUCUACCCAGUCGUGGGGGAUAACGUAGGGAAACUUACGCUAAUACCGCAUACGACCUGAGGGUGAAAGCAGGGGACCGCAAGGCCUUGCGCGAUUGGAUGAGCCGAUGUCCGAUUAGCUAGUUGGUGAGGUAAAGGCUCACCAAGGCGACGAUCGGUAGCUGGUCUGAGAGGAUGAUCAGCCACACUGGAACUGAGACACGGUCUAGACUCCUACGGGAGGCAGCAGUGGGGAAUAUUGGACAAUGGGCGCAAGCCUGAUCCAGCCAUGCCGCGUGUGUGAAGAAGGCCUUCGGGUUGUAAAGCACUUUUGUUGGGAAGAAAUCUUCCGGCCUAAUACGCCGGGAGGCUGACGGUACCCCAAAGAAUAAGCACCGGCUAACUUCGUGCCAGCAGCCGCGGUAAUACGAAGGGUGCAAGCGUUACUCGGAAUUACUGGGCGUAAAGCGUGCGUAGGUGGUUCGUUAAGUCUGCCGUGAAAGCCCCCGGGCUCAACCUGGGAAUGGCGGUGGAUACUGGCGGACUAGAGUGCGGUAGAGGGUGGUGGAAUUCCCGGUGUAGCAGUGAAAUGCGUAGAGAUCGGGAGAACNUCUGUGGCGAAGGCGCCACCUGGGACCACACUGACACUGAGGCACGAAA
Molecule: ribosomal RNA, 733 nt
Filed under: uncultured bacterium
Lineage: Bacteria
Description: bacterial SSU rRNA
Rfam family: Bacterial small subunit ribosomal RNA
Source: RNAcentral